AGAGUUUGAUCCUGGCUCAGAAUCAACGCUGGCGGCGCGCCUAACACAUGCAAGUCGAACGAGAAAGGGGAGCAAUCCCUGAGUACAGUGGCGUACGGGUGAGUAACACGUGGGUAAUCUACCUCUUUGAGUGGAAUAACCCUGGGAAACCGGGGCUAAUACCGCAUAAGCCUGAGAAGGGAAAGUCGCAAGACGCAGAGAGAGGAGCCCGCGGCCGAUUAGCUAGUUGGUGAGGUAAAAGCCCACCAAGGCAGAGAUCGGUAGCCGGCCUGAGAGGGCACACGGCCACACUGGCACUGAAACACGGGCCAGACUCCUACGGGAGGCAGCAGUGGGGAAUCUUGCACAAUGGGGGAAACCCUGAUGCAGCGACGCCGCGUGAGCGAUGAAGCCCUUCGGGGUGUAAAGCUCUUUCGGCAGGGAAGAUCAUGACGGUACCUGCAGAAGCAGCUGCGGCUAACUACGUGCCAGCAGCCGCGGUAAUACGUAGGCAGCAAGCGUUGUUCGGAGUUACUGGGCGUAAAGGGUGUGUAGGCGGUUAUUUAAGUUUGGUGUGAAAUCUCCCGGCUCAACCGGGAGGGUGCGCCGAAUACUGAGUGACUAGAGUGUGGGAGAGGAAAGUGGAAUUCCUGGUGUAGCGGUGAAAUGCGUAGAUAUCAGGAGGAACACCGGUGGUGUAGACGGCUUUCUGGACCAUAACUGACGCUGAGACACGAAAGCGUGGGUAGCAAACAGGAUUAGAUACCCCGGUAGUCC
RNAcentral lists this ribosomal RNA (756 nucleotides) under uncultured bacterium. RNAcentral describes it as "bacterial SSU rRNA". It matches the Rfam family "Bacterial small subunit ribosomal RNA", at positions 8 to 796 of the family's 1533-position model. The record is from RNAcentral.